ACACCCCCCCCCCCCCCCCCCCCCCCCCCCCCGCCUCCUCCUUACUACUAUAAAUCCCCACCACCUCCUUCCCCAUCUCCGCCUCCACCAUACUACUACAAGUCCCCACCCCCACCAUCACCAUCUCCGCCUCCACCGUACUACUACAAAUCUCCCCCGCCUCCAUCACCAUCACCACCCCCUCCAUACUACUAAAUAUCUCCACCUCCUCAGUCACCAGGGCGUGGUUUACGCAAGACCCCCCCCCCCCCCCACCCCCACCCCCCCCCCCUCCAUAUUACUACAAGUCUCCACCCCCACCAUCACCAUCUCCCCCGCCCCCGUAUUACUACAAGUCUCCCCCUCCUCCAUCGCCAUCACCGCCUCCUCCUUACUACUACAAGUCCCCUCCUCCUCCGUCACCAUCUCCACCACCACCAUACUACUACAAAUCUCCUCCACCACCAUCUCCCUCACCACCUCCACCAUACUACUACAAGUCUCCACCUCCUCCGUCACCAUCUCCACCACCACCAUACUACUACAAAUCUCCUCCACCACCAUCUCCCUCACCACCUCCACCACACCCCUACAAGUGUCUACUACAAAUCUCCCCCACCACCAUCUCCCUCACCUCCACCACCGUACUACUACAAGUCCCCUCCCCCUCCAUCUCCCUCACCACCACCACCAUACUACUACAAAUCUCCCCCACCACCAUCUCCCUCACCUCCACCACCGUACUACUACAAGUCCCCUCCCCCUCCAUCUCCCUCACCACCACCACCAUACUACUACAAAUCUCCCCCACCACCAUCUCCCUCACCUCCACCACCGUACUACUACAAGUCCCCUCCCCCACCAUCACCCUCACCACCACCACCAUACUACUACAAGUCUCCCCCACCACCAUCUCCUUCACCUCCACCACCGUACUACUACAAGUCCCCUCCCCCUCCAUCUCCCUCACCACCACCACCGUAUUACUACAAAUCUCCACCACCUCCUUCCCCAUCGCCGCCACCUCCUUACCACUACAAGUCUCCCCCACCACCAUCACCAUCUCCACCACCACCAUACUACUACAAGUCCCCUCCUCCUCCCUCACCGUCACCACCACCACCAUACUACUACAAGUCCCCACCACCACCAUCGCCAUCACCCCCUCCUCCAUACCACUACAGCUCACCUCCCCCACCGGUGAAAUCACCACCACCACCGGCAUACAUCUACUCAUCUCCCCCACCACCAACCCACUACUAGGCUCAAACGCCUCGGCAACACACCACCAAUGUAAGUUCCAUAAUCAUUUCUCCAUUCCAUCAAACUCUAUAUUUCAUUCCUUAACAGCUUUUCUAACAGUACUACUUUCCAUUUCAGAUUUAAGAAUUGACGAUGUAAUAAAAGAAGGCUCCAAUCAUGGUCUGAUAAACCCAACAUCAUCAAUUAGUGCCAAUAAUAACAACAGCCGAUAUGGUUCAGUAUGCAGAGUUGCUAUCCUGCACAUGGCAAUCUUGCUGUGUUCAUCAUCAUCAUCAUCAUCAAGUGGAGUUUUGUUCAAGAAGACGACAUUUGGGAAAUUAAGCAACUAUUCUUAGUUAUCGGAUUUGAUGAUCAAUUGGGUUUGUUCAGAGUUUAUUUGUUUAGUUGAUGUAUGUAAAAUCUAUUUGUUAUUUAGUUUUCCAGCUUUAAUUUUUUGUUGGGGAGGAUUUGGGAAAUGCGUGCUUAAUUAUGUUAUGGAAAUGCUAAUAUUAUAUAAAUUAUUCAAUGUUUAUGUUUGGGGAAGCAACGCAACGCAACGCAAAAUUGAUGUAAUUGCAAUUUUUUAUUGGAGCUUCUUCUACUUAUGUUUGACCUCCCUGCAGAUUGCGAGUAAUAAAGUAAACCCAUUUCAUAUUCUGAUUUUUCGAUUCAAUUUCGAUCGAAAUUACUUACUCACAAAUAAACUUCACUUAGCUUCAAUCUUUAGUAGGCCACUACUGAUCACGACUAUCUUUACAUUGCCUAAAUCGUUCAGAAAUUUGAAUCAGACCGGC
This 2015-nucleotide long non-coding RNA is filed under the name Linum usitatissimum (flax). Its description in RNAcentral is "long non-coding RNA (LUSI_LNC003129)". Lineage: Eukaryota; Viridiplantae; Streptophyta; Magnoliopsida; Malpighiales; Linaceae. The record is from RNAcentral.